CCUACGGGGGGCAGCAGUGGGGAAUAUUGGGCAAUGGGCGCAAGCCUGACCCAGCAACGUCGCGUGAAGGAAGAAGGCUUUCGGGUUGUAAACUUCUUUUCUCAGGGACGAAGCAAGUGACGGUACCUGAGGAAUAAGCCACGGCUAACUACGUGCCAGCAGCCGCGGUAAUACGUAGGUGGCAAGCGUUAUCCGGAUUUACUGGGUGUAAAGGGCGUGUAGGCGGGAAAGCAAGUCAGAUGUGAAAACCAUGGGCUCAACCUGUGGCCUGCAUUUGAAACUGUUUUUCUUGAGUACUGGAGAGGCAGACGGAAUUCCUAGUGUAGCGGUGAAAUGCGUAGAGAUUAGGAGGAACACCAGUGGCGAAGGCGGUCUGCUGGACAGCAACUGACGCUGAGGCGCGAAAGCGUGGGGAGCAAACAGGAUUAGAUACCCGUGUAGUC
This 443-nucleotide ribosomal RNA is filed under the name uncultured bacterium. RNAcentral's name for it is "partial 16S ribosomal RNA". It matches the Rfam family "Bacterial small subunit ribosomal RNA", at positions 338 to 795 of the family's 1533-position model. The record is from RNAcentral.